AUCCAGCUGUAUGUGGACUAACUUGGAGUUUAGCAUGAGAUCUAUAGAGUCGUGAAUCUCCGGCAAGUGAGUACCUAUAAGGAUUUUCACGCUGUGAAGUUCAGAGAUUUUUAGGCUGGUCUUGUCAAAACCUAUCACCCUUCCAUGGUUCCGGAGGAGGUUUGAGAUACAUCUCUGACUCCAGCCAGAGAUAGGCAAAUGAGAGAUGGAGAUCCAUGCUAGACGACUCUCUGUCACAUCUUCUUCCGUCCACGGGCGAACUUCAUCAAAGUAGAGCUUCCAGCAUUCCAUACCUUUCUGCAUGGCUUGUUGCAGAGAUUUCUCACCAUCAAAGCUUAUGAUUGCCUGGGAACCCCCCAGGAAACGAAC
This 369-nucleotide long non-coding RNA is filed under the name Populus trichocarpa (black cottonwood). RNAcentral's name for it is "long non-coding RNA (PTRI_LNC000023)". Lineage: Eukaryota; Viridiplantae; Streptophyta; Magnoliopsida; Malpighiales; Salicaceae. The record is from RNAcentral.